CGAACGGGUGAGUAACACGUGGGCAACCUGCCCAAAAGAGGGGGAUAACACUUGGAAACAGGUGCUAAUACCGCAUAACCAUAGUUACCGCAUGGUAGCUAUGUAAAAGGUGGCUAUGCUACCGCUUUUGGAUGGGCCCGCGGCGCAUUAGCUAGUUGGUGGGGUAAAGGCUUACCAAGGCAAUGAUGCGUAGCCGAACUGAGAGGUUGAUCGGCCACAUUGGGACUAAGACACGGCCCAAACUCCUACGGGAGGCAGCAG
RNAcentral lists this ribosomal RNA (261 nucleotides) under uncultured bacterium. RNAcentral describes it as "partial 16S ribosomal RNA". It matches the Rfam family "Bacterial small subunit ribosomal RNA", at positions 99 to 354 of the family's 1533-position model. The record is from RNAcentral.